GUGGGGAAUAUUGCACAAUGGGGGAAACCCUGAUGCAGCGACGCCGCGUGAGUGAAGAAGUAUUUCGGUAUGUAAAGCUCUAUCAGCAGGGAAGAUAAUGACGGUACCUGACUAAGAAGCACCGGCUAAAUACGUGCCAGCAGCCGCGGUAAUACGUAUGGUGCAAGCGUUAUCCGGAUUUACUGGGUGUAAAGGGUGCGUAGGUGGCAAGGCAAGUCUGAAGUGAAAAUCCGGGGCUCAACCCCGGAACUGCUUUGGAAACUGUUUAGCUAGAGUACAGGAGAGGUAAGUGGAAUUCCUAGUGUAGCGGUGAAAUGCGUAGAUAUUAGGAGGAACACCAGUGGCGAAGGCGACUUACUGGACUGGUACUGACACUGAGGCACGAAAGCGUGGGGAGCAAACAGGAUUAGAUACCCUUGUAGUCC
This 425-nucleotide ribosomal RNA is filed under the name uncultured bacterium. RNAcentral's name for it is "bacterial SSU rRNA". It matches the Rfam family "Bacterial small subunit ribosomal RNA", at positions 354 to 796 of the family's 1533-position model. The record is from RNAcentral.